UCAGCAUCACCGCCUAGAAGGUCUCCUUCUCCUCGUCAGCAGACCCCUCCUCGUCCUCUCCUUCUCCUCAACGUCACUGGCAGAGUCCUCCUCCACCUCCUAGCCCAUCUACAUCAGGCAGAGUCCUCACAAAGAGGACAUGGCUCUCAUGUGCUCCUUUACAGAAAGAAACAUCAAACAAAUCAUUGCAAUCGCACCAAAGGUUCUUGGGAUCGGUUGAGAAUGAGAAAAAUAAAAGGCCUUUUAGUUCCAGCAUUACAAACUUGAUGAACCAGAAAGUCAGUGUCGGUAUACCUAAGGAAAAAUAUGUUCCUUUCUUUAAUCUAAUUGCCUGUUUACCUAAGGCCUUGAAGAGGAAUGAAUAUGAAAGGCAUACACAGAUCAAGUACAAUAAUGAAAUGGACGAUGCAACAUUCCAAGGAAUGUAAUAAACAAGUUGAUGGAGGCCAACUCCACCUAGAAUAGGCAGUACGCCAAAGACCACUAAUGGGAAUCAAUUGGGGUGGCACCAUUGGCAUGUAAGUAUGUAAGAGGCCAUUUUUUGGUUUUGGAGGACAAGUUCAAAGAGUUGUCCACACAGCUGUAUGAGUUGCAUGAAUAUUACAUGGCCC
RNAcentral lists this long non-coding RNA (611 nucleotides) under Sorghum bicolor (sorghum). Its description in RNAcentral is "long non-coding RNA (SBIC_LNC014880)". The record is from RNAcentral. Lineage: Eukaryota; Viridiplantae; Streptophyta; Magnoliopsida; Poales; Poaceae.